This 314-nucleotide long non-coding RNA is filed under the name Danio rerio (zebrafish). Its description in RNAcentral is "si:ch211-145g9.6 (ENSDARG00000096044.2)". Lineage: Eukaryota; Metazoa; Chordata; Actinopteri; Cypriniformes; Danionidae. The record is from RNAcentral.
ACACCGCUGUGUUUUAGCUCUUCAGUCAUAUAUUGUCAGAUCUAGUGUCCAUUCGCCUGUUUUGAUGUCCUUCUGAUGAUAUUUAAAAGGUUUAUACUGAAUAUCAAGAACUCUUCAUUUGUAACGCAGCACUUUAUACUUCCCUUUAUUCAUCAGGGGUCGCCACAGUGGAUUGAACCGCCAACUUAUCCAGCAUACGUUUUACGCAGCAGAUGUCCUUCCAGCUGCAACCCAGUACUGGGAAACACCCAUAUACUCACAUUUGCAUGUCUUUGGACUGAGGGAAACCUGAUCACCCAGAGGAAACCCAUGCU